CACGAGUUGUAGAGUGUAGGCGGGAGUCUUUGUGGAGCACGGUGUCCAAGUCCCUUGGAACAGGGCGCCUGAGAGGGUGAGAGCCCCGUGGGGUGCCGUGCGAAGCUCUGAGGCCCUGCUGACGAGUCGAGUUGUUUGGGAAUGCAGCUCCAAGUGGGUGGUAAAUUCCAUCUAAGGCUAAAUACUGGCGAGAGACCGAUAGCGAACAAGUACUGUGAAGGAAAGAUGAAAAGCACUUUGAAAAGAGAGUGAAACAGCACGUGAAAUUGUUGAAAGGGAAGGGUAUUGGGCCCGACAUGGGGAGUGCGCACCGCUGUCUCUUGUAGGCGGCGCUCUGGGCGCUCUCUGGGCCAGCAUCGGUUCUUGCUGCGGGAGAAUGGGUGCCGGAAAGUGGCUCUUCGGAGUGUUAUAGCCGGCGCCAGAUACCGCGUGCGGGGACCGAGGACUGCGGCUUCUGUCUCGGAUGCUGGCACAACGGCGCAAUACCGCCCGUCUUGAAACAUGGACCAAGGAGUCUAACGUCUAUGCGAGUGUUUGGGUGUAAAACCCGUACGCGUAAUGAAAGUGAACGUAGGUCGGACCCCUUCGGGGGGCACGAUCGACCGAUCC
RNAcentral lists this ribosomal RNA (609 nucleotides) under Pichia membranifaciens. Its description in RNAcentral is "eukaryotic LSU rRNA". It matches the Rfam family "Eukaryotic large subunit ribosomal RNA", at positions 137 to 771 of the family's 3401-position model. The record is from RNAcentral. Lineage: Eukaryota; Fungi; Ascomycota; Pichiomycetes; Pichiales; Pichiaceae.